This 66-nucleotide ribosomal RNA is filed under the name Desulfosporosinus hippei DSM 8344. Its description in RNAcentral is "16S rRNA. Bacterial SSU". It matches the Rfam family "Bacterial small subunit ribosomal RNA", at positions 1470 to 1533 of the family's 1533-position model. Lineage: Bacteria; Bacillati; Bacillota; Clostridia; Eubacteriales; Desulfitobacteriaceae. The record is from RNAcentral.
GAUAAUUGGGGUGAAGUCGUAACAAGGUAGCCGUAUCGGAAGGUGCGGCUGGAUCACCUCCUUUCU